Molecule: long non-coding RNA, 1105 nt
Organism: Homo sapiens (human)
Lineage: Eukaryota; Metazoa; Chordata; Mammalia; Primates; Hominidae
Source: Ensembl
AUUCUAUUUUCUCCAGGGAGGCAAUGCUUUUCCUAAAAAGUUGAGAAUUUAGACCUGGACUUGGCUGAGCUGUUUUACUGAUUUUUGCAAGAGCAAGAGUAAGGUGACCCAUGCAGGGAAAAUCAUCCUAGACUAAACUUCUAAAACCAUACGUGUUGCCUAUCGGUUAUAACCCAGGUGGGGCAUCUUUUCUGCUGCGACAUGUGUACCCGUCAGCCAACGUGUGAUGAGCUCUCACGUUCAGACCUUGGUCUGUCAGCUGUCACCACUCCCUUAUCUCAUGCUGGAAAGGCACACCAAAAUACAGGUGGUAUUUGUACUUCCAUUAUACAAGUGAGGAAUCAAAGGGAGAAACAGAAACCUCUAAGUUCACUUUGUGAAAUGGGAUUCUCACCUUUGCAACAUGGCUCUGGAGACUUGCUCUUCACAAUGACAGUUGCAAGAGAAAAAAAUUACCCAAUGACACUCGGUAAAGCAUGAGAACUUUCAGAAAGGCACCAUCGGUCUUGAGCUGGAAGCCCGCCUUUUAGGUUUUGAAGAGAGAAGAGGUGGAGGAGGAUGUGUGCUCCAUGAAGACGUGUUCACAGACUCUAACUUGCUAUGGAGUGGCCAGAGGGCUCGACGAAGAUGCCAACUGCCUUCAGAUGUCUCCAGCUCCUAUCACGGCUGUGUGAAGCUAUAGGCUGUGGUAAAGACCAACCAGGGGAGAACAAGCAAAGGCCAUUUAUUCAGAGGCUGCUGUAUCAGGGGAGUCAGCCACCCACACAUGUCUUAUGGAAAGCUGCUUCUGCCCCAACCCUGUUUUAGCUAGUCUUCAGUUUAAUCUGAUAUCCGGUACCACCUCCUACCCCAUUUCUACCCAUCUUAGGUUCAUUGGCUGGGACGCCUGUGACAAAAGACAGAUUAACAAGAGAAAGGUACACAAAUUUAUUUAAUAUGUGUUAUGUGACACAGGAGCCUUCAAAAGGAAAUGAAGUUCUGAAGAAACAGCUAAACCUGAAUGGUUUUUGUCGUAGAUUUGAGAAGAAUGAAGCAUUGUGGGAAAAUAUGACAAAGUAAAGAAAAAGAAUGAGAGAAAUGUAAUAAAUCGGGGAAUCUUAGAAAA